Molecule: transfer RNA, 74 nt
Filed under: Anaerolineae bacterium
Lineage: Bacteria; Bacillati; Chloroflexota; Anaerolineae
Description: tRNA-Pro
Rfam family: tRNA
About the family: Transfer RNA (tRNA) molecules are approximately 80 nucleotides in length.
Source: RNAcentral
CGGGGCGUGGCGCAGCCCGGUAGCGCGCUUGCAUGGGGUGCAAGAGGUCCCGGGUUCGAAUCCCGGCGCCCCGA